UAGGCCAUCAGUGGGUCCUGGAUAGUGA
This 28-nucleotide non-coding RNA is filed under the name Homo sapiens (human). Lineage: Eukaryota; Metazoa; Chordata; Mammalia; Primates; Hominidae. The record is from RNAcentral.